RNAcentral lists this transfer RNA (75 nucleotides) under Clostridia bacterium. Its description in RNAcentral is "tRNA-Glu". It matches the Rfam family "tRNA". Rfam says of the family: Transfer RNA (tRNA) molecules are approximately 80 nucleotides in length. Their secondary structure includes four short double-helical elements and three loops (D, anti-codon, and T loops). The record is from RNAcentral. Lineage: Bacteria; Bacillati; Bacillota; Clostridia.
GGCUCGUUGGUCAAGCGGUUAAGACAUCAGCCUCUCACGCUGAAAACAUGGGUUCGAUUCCCGUACGAGUCACCA